Molecule: long non-coding RNA, 203 nt
Filed under: Sorghum bicolor (sorghum)
Lineage: Eukaryota; Viridiplantae; Streptophyta; Magnoliopsida; Poales; Poaceae
Description: long non-coding RNA (SBIC_LNC014966)
Source: RNAcentral
GAAAUACUGCUGUCACUACCAGCAAGUCACGCAUUUAUUCGCGUAAAAUCCCGCGCUAUGCAGCUAGUGGGAUUCGAACCUGCGACGCGCCCUCGCGCGUAACCUCCUCUACCACUCCACCUAUCACUCAGAUGUGUCUAUGUUAGAGUUUAUUUUCCGACAUAUUAUCCUAAACUGAGCAUACAUUGAUUAUUUGAGGCCAG